This 256-nucleotide ribosomal RNA is filed under the name uncultured bacterium. Its description in RNAcentral is "partial 16S ribosomal RNA". It matches the Rfam family "Bacterial small subunit ribosomal RNA", at positions 369 to 627 of the family's 1533-position model. The record is from RNAcentral.
ACAUGGGCGCAAGACCUGAUCUAGACCAUGACUCGCGUGAGUGAUGAAGGUCCUUAUGGAUUCGUAAAGCUCUUUCGACUCAUGGGAUGAUAAUGACAGUACCUGUGUAAARAACACCCCGGCUAACUCCGAUGCCAGACAUGCCGCGGUAAUACGGAGGGGGUCAGCGUUGUUCGGAAUAACUGGGCGUAAAGCGUACGUAGGCGGAUUAGAAAGUAUGGGGUGAAAUCCCAGGGCUCAACCCUGGAACUGCCUC